GCCCGGCUAGCUCAAUCGGUAGAGCGUAAGACUGUAAGUCUUCUGAUUCCCCUUCCACACCUCCAGUACUGACCUCUUCCUCCUUAGUCUAAUCUUAAGGUCGCAAGUUCGAUCCUUGCGUCGGGCU
Molecule: non-coding RNA, 127 nt
Organism: Aspergillus melleus
Lineage: Eukaryota; Fungi; Ascomycota; Eurotiomycetes; Eurotiales; Aspergillaceae
Source: the annotation of a RefSeq genome assembly